AGCGGGGUCUGCCCGGCACGGCGCUGGGCGUGGCGAGAUAAGCGCAGGGACUGGGCGGGGCCGGGGGCGCAUUCCGCAGGAAGGGCUGGCGCCUCGGGUGCUGGCGCGGCGGCGUCGCUGGGGGACCGGCAGGCUGCGGUCCCCUGGGCCGCAUGUGGAAAGUGGGGUACCCGGCUCGGCUCGCGCUCCGUCCACCCGCACCCGGCCCCUCCUCCAGCCCAGCCGAGGCCACAUCUCCCUUCUCUGGGGACCAGCUCCUGCUUCCUGGCUCCAAGCUGUUCCGGUUAGCAGCUGGGGCGAACACAGGUGGGACCGGACGGCCAGCUAAGCACAGACACCCCCAGCCGGCCACGCCCCUGCGAAGGGAUGGCCCAGCACAGACCCGGGAGGAGGGGGCAUGCCGCCUCCCGGUGACCCCAGAGACUGAUCAGGAGCACCGAAGGUUCGAGGCCAACCUCUGGCUCUUGCAAACCCGGCUGGGGAUGUGGCUCGUGGUAGAGCACCCCGGGCUCGAUUUCCGACACACACGAAAGAAUUUCCUAGAUAGCUCCUCCUCCAGAAGGUCAGCUGAAGCCUUCCGCAGAGGCGGACUUCGCCAUGCAGAGCCCCUCCAGUGGCCCGGUCAGGGGCGACAAGUCACGUGGGCAACUCCUGGCCUGCCUGGCGGUGGUGGACUCGGUGACAAGGGCCUUUGAGACUCUUCCCCCCAAGGCUCCUCAAAACCACCCAGGCCAUCCCUGGUCAGCUGGGGACAGAGCAGGCUCAGCUUGAGGCCCUGGGUGUGACGCCCAGCACCCAAGGCCACAGGAGAUGGAGGGGCCCACUGGGGAAGCCAUGUGACUUCCUGGGUGGCAUCCUGGGCCACUGAGGGACAUUUGUGACAUCCCAAUAGAGGGUCGUUUCCUUAAUAGUAAUGUGCCCGUCUUUCUCUCUCUCCCCCUCUCCCCCCUCCCUCUCUCCCCCUCUCCCCCCUCCCUCUCCCCCCCCCCCCCCUCUCUCUCUCUCUCUCUCUCUCUCUCUCUUUCUUUCAUUUUCCAAGUCCUUUAUUUCACUUUUUUUUUAUGUGGUGCUCAGGAUCGAACCCAGUGCCUCAUGUGUGCUAGGCGAGGACUCUACCACUGAGCCACCACCCCAGCCCCUCUUGGAUUCGUUAUUUUUAUAUUUACUUAUUUAUUUUUAGUUGUCGAUGGACACAUACCUUUAUCUUAUUUAUUCAUUUUUAUGUGGUGCUGAGGAUCGCACCCAGUGCCUCACACGUGCCAGGCAGGUGCUCUCCCAUUGAGCCACAACCCUAGCCCCAGGUUCUUGAUCUUGACAGAUAUACUAGGGCCGGUAAUGGCAGAUGAUGAUAUUUGGUUGAGGGGUCAAAGGGAAUCUAGAAUCACUGCAAAUUCUCUAUAAAUCUCAAAGUUUCUAAGAUUUUUUUAAAAAAGGUUAUUAAAAAGGAAAACCAGGCUUAUGAGUACCUCUGUCCAGCUCACAACCAUCAUUCAAGCAGAAGGCAGAAUCUAUUGAGUCAGGAGAGGAAUUUGUGCUAUAAAUUGCAUUCAUAAAAAUUCAUUAAAUGUAAUUUUUCUGUAUUUAUUUUUGUGGUACUAGGGAUUGAAGCCAGCGAUGUUUUACCAUUGAGCUGCAUCCCCAGCCCUUUUUAUUUUUUUACUUUGAGACAGGGUCUCACUAAGUUGCCCAGGCUGUCCUUGAACUUGCAAUUCUCCUGCCUCAGCCUCCCAAGUCACUGGGGUUCCAGCUGUGCACCACCAUGACUGGCUGUAUUUAAAAUGUGCUGAGGACAAGAAGCUCAGGUAUCCGAUAUCUUGUUAUUAUGUGCAUGUUCAAAUGUUUGGAGUGAAUUGAUACUUGCAAACUGCUUUGAAAUGAUUUCUUUUUAAAGGGAUGUAUAUGGAGGUGGGGUUUGGGGCUUAGUGCUUGCCUAGCACACAUGAGGCACUGGGUUUGAUCUUCAGCACUGCAUUAAAAAACUUAAAAAUGAAAUAAAGGUAUUGUGUCCAUCUACAACAAAAGAAAAAUAAAUUUUUAAGGAUGCAUGAGAAUCCUGUCACUUCUGUUCAGUUUUGGUGUGAACCUAACACUUCUUUGAAAAAUAAAGUUUAC
Molecule: long non-coding RNA, 2112 nt
Filed under: Marmota monax (woodchuck)
Lineage: Eukaryota; Metazoa; Chordata; Mammalia; Rodentia; Sciuridae
Source: RNAcentral